RNAcentral lists this ribosomal RNA (1363 nucleotides) under uncultured bacterium. RNAcentral describes it as "bacterial SSU rRNA". It matches the Rfam family "Bacterial small subunit ribosomal RNA", at positions 28 to 1394 of the family's 1533-position model. The record is from RNAcentral.
GAUGAACGCUGGCGGCGUGCUUAACACAUGCAAGUCGAACGAUGAACCAGGUGCUUGCACUUGGGGAUUAGUGGCGAACGGGUGAGUAACACGUGAGUAACCUGCCCUUGACUCUGGGAUAAGCCUGGGAAACUGGGUCUAAUACCGGAUAUGACCUCUCACCGCAUGGUGGGUGGUGGAAAGAUUUUAUCGGUUGGGGAUGGGCUCGCGGCCUAUCAGCUUGUUGGUGAGGUAAUGGCUUACCAAGGCGACGACGGGUAGCCGGCCUGAGAGGGUGACCGGCCACACUGGGACUGAGACACGGCCCAGACUCCUACGGGAGGCAGCAGUGGGGAAUAUUGCACAAUGGGCGCAAGCCUGAUGCAGCGACGCCGCGUGAGGGAUGACGGCCUUCGGGUUGUAAACCUCUUUCAGUAGGGAAGAAGCCCUUUUGGGGUGACGGUACUUGCAGAAGAAGCGCCGGCUAACUACGUGCCAGCAGCCGCGGUAAUACGUAGGGCGCGAGCGUUAUCCGGAUUUAUUGGGCGUAAAGAGCUCGUAGGCGGUUUGUCGCGUCUGCCGUGAAAGACCAGGGCUCAACCCUGGUUCUGCGGUGGGUACGGGCAGACUAGAGUGAUGUAGGGGAGACUGGAAUUCCUGGUGUAGCGGUGAAAUGCGCAGAUAUCAGGAGGAACACCGAUGGCGAAGGCAGGUCUCUGGGCAUUUACUGACGCUGAGGAGCGAAAGCAUGGGGAGCGAACAGGAUUAGAUACCCUGGUAGUCCAUGCCGUAAACGUUGGGCACUAGGUGUGGGGGACAUUCCACGUUUUCCGCGCCGUAGCUAACGCAUUAAGUGCCCCGCCUGGGGAGUACGGCCGCAAGGCUAAAACUCAAAGGAAUUGACGGGGGCCCGCACAAGCGGCGGAGCAUGCGGAUUAAUUCGAUGCAACGCGAAGAACCUUACCAAGGCUUGACAUGUUCCAGAUCGCUCUAGAGAUAGGGUUUCCCUUUGGGGCUGGUUCACAGGUGGUGCAUGGUUGUCGUCAGCUCGUGUCGUGAGAUGUUGGGUUAAGUCCCGCAACGAGCGCAACCCUCGUUCCAUGUUGCCAGCACGUUGUGGUGGGGACUCAUGGGAGACUGCCGGGGUCAACUCGGAGGAAGGUGGGGAUGACGUCAAAUCAUCAUGCCCCUUAUGUCUUGGGCUUCACGCAUGCUACAAUGGCCGGUACAAUGGGUUGCGAUACUGUGAGGUGGAGCUAAUCCCUAAAAGCCGGUCUCAGUUCGGAUUGGGGUCUGCAACUCGACCCCAUGAAGUCGGAGUCGCUAGUAAUCGCAGAUCAGCAACGCUGCGGUGAAUACGUUCCCGGGCCUUGCACUCACCGCC